This 391-nucleotide unclassified non-coding RNA is filed under the name soil metagenome. RNAcentral's name for it is "partial contains 5.8S ribosomal RNA, internal transcribed spacer 2, and large subunit ribosomal RNA". The stretch from base 1 to 122 matches the Rfam family "5.8S ribosomal RNA", at positions 35 to 154 of the family's 154-position model. The record is from RNAcentral.
GAUGAAGAACGCAGCGAAAUGCGAUACUUGGUGUGAAUUGCAGAAUCCCGUGAACCAUCGAGUCUUUGAACGCAAGUUGCGCCCGAAGCCAUUAGGCCGAGGGCACGCCUGCCUGGGCGUCACACGUCGUUGCCCCCCCAUCUACUCCUUCGGGAUUGCGGGGGGCGGAUUAUGGCCUCCCGUGCGCCUCGCCGCGCGGUUGGCAUAAAUGCCAAGUCCUCGGCGACGCACGCCACGACAAUCGGUGGUUGCGAAACCUCGGUUGCCCGUCGUGUGCGGUCGUCGCGCAUCGAGGGCUCGAAAAAAUUGCCGGGUUCCGGCUCGGCUUUCAACGCGACCCCAGGUCAGGCGGGGUUACCCGCUGAAUUUAAGCAUAUCAAUAAGCGGAGGA